UACGUAGGAGGCAAGCGUUGUCCGGAGUUACUGGGCGUAAAGCGCACGCAGGCGGUUCAGUCAGUCUGUAGGGACAGGGCACAGCUCAACUGUGUCAGGCUUACGGAAACUGCUGAACUUGAGGGCUUCAGAGGGAUGGGGAAUUCCGGGUGGAGUGGUGAAAUGCGUAGAGAUCCGGAAGAACACCAAAGGCGAAGGCACCAUCCUGGGGAGUCACUGACGCUCGGGUGCGAAAGCUAGGGGAGCGAACAGG
This 253-nucleotide ribosomal RNA is filed under the name uncultured bacterium. RNAcentral's name for it is "partial 16S ribosomal RNA". It matches the Rfam family "Bacterial small subunit ribosomal RNA", at positions 524 to 776 of the family's 1533-position model. The record is from RNAcentral.